Long non-coding RNA from Daphnia magna, 245 nucleotides. RefSeq lists it as uncharacterized. The transcript is spliced from 2 exons. Lineage: Eukaryota; Metazoa; Arthropoda; Branchiopoda; Diplostraca; Daphniidae. The record is from RefSeq and is a predicted model, not a curated record.
AAAACCUAUGAAUUUCUCUGUGAAAUUUUCUCCUUAUCGUCAAGAAUGUAUUUCUUUGUGCAAGUGACAACCGCCUUAGCUGCCCCCUAACGGCAGCCAGGUGCAACUUUUUGCAAACCACCUUGCCGAGAGGGAGCAAAAACCACCGUUUUUGUUUUCAAGGUCAAAAAUGUCAUUCAAAUUUUAUGUAUUUUAACUAUUAGUAAAAACUGAAUGAAACAAGAAUAUAGAAAUUCUCAAUUUUA